Molecule: non-coding RNA, 121 nt
Organism: Candidatus Nomurabacteria bacterium
Lineage: Bacteria; Candidatus Nomuraibacteriota
Source: Rfam
AGCCUAACCCUUAAAGAGAACCUUUAAAGUAUGGCAAAAAUUACCAUCCCUGACACUGAACCCCUCGUUCAGCAACUCAGGGAUGGGCAUAUCUGAAAAGAUGUGUGAACCGAAAGGUUCU